Molecule: long non-coding RNA, 948 nt
Filed under: Anas platyrhynchos (mallard)
Lineage: Eukaryota; Metazoa; Chordata; Aves; Anseriformes; Anatidae
Description: lncRNA (ENSAPLG00020017408.1)
Source: RNAcentral
GGCGCAUGCGCGCAGUUCCGCCGCCGGCGGCCGGGGCCUAUGUACCAAUGGCUGCUGGCGGCCCUCGGCGCCCUCUUCCCCGCCGCCCGCCGUCCUGCGCCGCCCCCGGCCCCGGCCGCGGCCCCGGCCCCGGCCCCGCCGCCGCCUCGCAAGAGGCCGCUCCACAGCGCUCAGCCACCUCUGGAAGAUCCUGACCAGACUCGACCAAAAAAGCAAAAAACAGGUUGCGCCACCUCUGAGCCUACAGAGAAAGUUGAAGAAGUUUCUGCUGUGGCGAAGGUGCCGGCUGAGGCAACAAACGAGCACUGGAAAGCUUCAGUCAGCAAUGCAGCUCCAAUCACAGAGCCCACAGAAGAGACUCAGUCCACUUCGUCUGACCCUUUGUCUAAAAGACCAGCAAGUUCUGCGCUAGAAGUAGAAAUGCUACAGAUUGAUAAAAUGCCUUGUGGAACCAACGCUUGCUUGAAUAAUGAAACACUAUCCCUUUCUCACAAGACAAUUCCCUGUUUGAGCACUAGCAGGAAUGGCAACCACCAUGUCAAAACUACUCCAGAAGACACCGUAACACUCAGGCCACCCAUUAAGGAGCACACUACGCCAGAGUCUGCAACUUCAGAAGUCAGCAAAAUGGGGAGGCCUUUUUGUACUGUGGAAGAGGAUGUUCUGAGAGGCGAAAAGGAGAAAUACAAACAGCUCUUGAAACUAGUAAAGGAAAAAUAUCCUAGAAGCCGCUCUAUCUCACAGCCGACAAGCUUCUGCAAUGUUCAGGCUUACUCCAAGGAACCAGUGAUGGCUGCAAGUCACCUGGAUGAACAAAAACGCGGAGGAGAUGUCUGUCAAUAUAUGACACUAAGAACCAAUAGCAAACGUGCAGACAGGCUGCAGCACACACUGGUCUCCAAGAAGCGAUAUAAUCAGAUACUACACACCAGCAGAAAAUUCUCAUGA